RNAcentral lists this ribosomal RNA (466 nucleotides) under uncultured bacterium. RNAcentral describes it as "partial 16S ribosomal RNA". It matches the Rfam family "Bacterial small subunit ribosomal RNA", at positions 28 to 506 of the family's 1533-position model. The record is from RNAcentral.
GACGAACGCUGGCGGCGUGCUUAACACAUGCAAGUCGAACGGAAAGGCCUCUUUCGGGGGGUACUCGAGUGGCGAACGGGUGAGUAACACGUGAGUAACCUGCCCUUGACUUUGGGAUAACUUCAGGAAACUGGGGCUAAUACCGGAUAGGAGCUCCUGCUUCAUGGUGGGGGUUGGAAAGUUUCGGCGGUUGGGGAUGGACUCGCGGCUUAUCAGCUUGUUGGUGGGGUAGUGGCUUACCAAGGCUUUGACGGGUAGCCGGCCUGAGAGGGUGACCGGCCACAUUGGGACUGAGAUACGGCCCAGACUCCUACGGGAGGCAGCAGUGGGGAAUAUUGCACAAUGGGUGGAAGCCUGAUGCAGCAACGCCGUGUGCGGGAUGACGGCCUUCGGGUUGUAAACCGCUUUCGCUCAUGACGAAGCUUUGUGUGACGGUAGUGGGUAAAGAAGCACCGGCUAACUACGU